Molecule: ribosomal RNA, 441 nt
Filed under: uncultured bacterium
Lineage: Bacteria
Description: bacterial SSU rRNA
Rfam family: Bacterial small subunit ribosomal RNA
Source: RNAcentral
GCCUAACACAUGCAAGUCGAGCGGUAAGGCCUCUUCGGAGGUACACGAGCGGCGGACGGCUGAGUAACACGUAGGAACGUACCCCAAACUGAGGGAUAAGCACCAGAAAUGGUGUCUAAUACCGCAUGUGCUCUUCGGAGUAAAGCUACGGCGGUUUGGGAACGGCCUGCGUCCGAUUAGCUUGUUGGUGAGGUAAUGGCUCACCAAGGCGACGAUCGGUAGCUGGUCUGAGAGGAUGAUCAGCCAGACUGGGACUGAGAACGGCCCAGACUCCUACGGGAGGCAGCAGUGGGGAAUAUUGGACAAUGGGGGCAACCCUGAUGGAGCAACGCCGCGUGCAGGAUGAAGGCCUUCGGGUUGUAAACUGCUUUUCUCUGCGACGAAUAUGACGGUAGCAGAGGAAUAAGGAUCGGCUAAUUCCGUGCCAGCAGCCGCGGUAAU